RNAcentral lists this unclassified non-coding RNA (335 nucleotides) under soil metagenome. RNAcentral's name for it is "partial contains 5.8S ribosomal RNA, internal transcribed spacer 2, and large subunit ribosomal RNA". The stretch from base 1 to 120 matches the Rfam family "5.8S ribosomal RNA", at positions 35 to 154 of the family's 154-position model. The record is from RNAcentral.
GAUGAAGAACGUAGCGAAAUGCGAUAAGUAAUGUGAAUUGCAGAAUUCAGUGAAUCAUCGAAUCUUUGAACGCACAUUGCGCCCGCCAGUAUUCUGGCGGGCAUGCCUGUUCGAGCGUCAUUUCAACCAUCAAGCCCCAGGCUUGUGUUGGGGACCUGCGGCUGCCGCAGGCCCUGAAAACCAGUGGCGGGCUCGCUGUCACACCGGGCGUAGUAGAUUUUAUCUCGCUCAGGGCGUGCUGCGGGUUCCGGCCGUUAAAAAGCCUUUUUUACCCAAGGUUGACCUCGGAUCAGGUAGGAAGACCCGCUGAACUUAAGCAUAUCAAUAACGGAGGA